RNAcentral lists this ribosomal RNA (339 nucleotides) under Triticum aestivum (bread wheat). Its description in RNAcentral is "partial small subunit ribosomal RNA". Lineage: Eukaryota; Viridiplantae; Streptophyta; Magnoliopsida; Poales; Poaceae. The record is from RNAcentral.
AUGGCAGUAGUAAUGCUUCCGAGGCUUGUUGCCGUGGCAGCGCUGGUCGUGCUGAUGUAUGCCGUCGCUGUUGGCCAGGUACCUGCCGCCGGCGGUGCGCCGGUGUGCGAUGGUAUUGAUCAGAACGUCGUGAAUGCAUGUUUCAAGAGCUUCGGAGAAGGUAUGAAAAUUGCUAUUGCCGACAGAAAUAUUUCGGCGGGUAAUGUCAUUAAGGUUCAAGUGGACUGCUGCAUAGCCUUUGGAGGCCACUCGUGCCUCUGCAAGAUGAAGAAGGUGUGGAAGGCUCAGGGCAAAAGUGCCCAGGACAAUGUACAAUGCGUCAGGGAAAAGGCCUGCUAG